AUGUAGCGACGGACGUGCUCAUCCUCCUCGCUGACACGGUGACGUACCACCUCCGCGGUGUCCGGAAGCCUCGGCACCGUCACUGGCCCACGCGACCGCCACCAAACAAGGAUUGGGUCAACAACGGGCUGGCUCCUCACCAACCUACGCCCCCCGGAAGGUAGAAACUCCCAAUACCAGCCGAGCGGAGCCCAGUCCCGGAUAGGGCCCCUCUGAUCAAGCAGGUGUCCUCCGCCGAGUCGACGACGAGGAUGCGGGAUAGGCAUCGUAAAAUGAACUAAAAAAAAUAAACUAGUUUUAUUAAUUUUCUUGCUAAAAAUAAACUAUUAACACUUAAGCAUAUACAAUAGCAAAAUUAAACUAUUAACACUUANNNNNNNNNNCUGCCCUCCAACGCAACCAUGUAGCAACGGACGUGCUCAUCCUCCUCGCUGACACGGUGACGUACCACCUCCGGGGUGUCCGAAAGCCUCGGCACCGUCACUGGCCCACGCGACCGCCACCAAACAAGGAGCGGGUCAACAACGGGCUAGCUCCUCACCAACCUACGCCCCCCGGAAGGUAGCACCUCCCAAUACCAGCCGGGCGGAGCCCAGUCCCG
This 601-nucleotide long non-coding RNA is filed under the name Hordeum vulgare. Its description in RNAcentral is "long non-coding RNA (HVUL_LNC010951)". The record is from RNAcentral. Lineage: Eukaryota; Viridiplantae; Streptophyta; Magnoliopsida; Poales; Poaceae.